GACGAACGCUGGCGGCGUGCCUAAUACAUGCAAGUCGAGCGGACAGAUGGGAGCUUGCUCCCUGAUGUUAGCGGCGGACGGGUGAGUAACACGUGGGUAACCUGCCUGUAAGACUGGGAUAACUCCGGGAAACCGGGGCUAAUACCGGAUGGUUGUUUGAACCGCAUGGUUCAAACAUAAAAGGUGGCUUCGGCUACCACUUACAGAUGGACCCGCGGCGCAUUAGCUAGUUGGUGAGGUAACGGCUCACCAAGGCGACGAUGCGUAGCCGACCUGAGAGGGUGAUCGGCCACACUGGGACUGAGACACGGCCCAGACUCCUACGGGAGGCAGCAGUAGGGAAUCUUCCGCAAUGGACGAAAGUCUGACGGAGCAACGCCGCGUGAGUGAUGAAGGUUUUCGGAUCGUAAAGCUCUGUUGUUAGGGAAGAACAAGUACCGUUCGAAUAGGGCGGUACCUUGACGGUACCUAACCAGAAAGCCACGGCUAACUACGUGCCAGCAGCCGCGGUAAUACGUAGGUGGCAAGCGUUGUCCGGAAUUAUUGGGCGUAAAGGGCUCGCAGGCGGUUUCUUAAGUCUGAUGUGAAAGCCCCCGGCUCAACCGGGGAGGGUCAUUGGAAACUGGGGAACUUGAGUGCAGAAGAGGAGAGUGGAAUUCCACGUGUAGCGGUGAAAUGCGUAGAGAUGUGGAGGAACACCAGUGGCGAAGGCGACUCUCUGGUCUGUAACUGACGCUGAGGAGCGAAAGCGU
RNAcentral lists this ribosomal RNA (752 nucleotides) under Bacillus subtilis. RNAcentral's name for it is "bacterial SSU rRNA". It matches the Rfam family "Bacterial small subunit ribosomal RNA", at positions 28 to 762 of the family's 1533-position model. Lineage: Bacteria; Bacillati; Bacillota; Bacilli; Caryophanales; Bacillaceae. The record is from RNAcentral.